CAAAUUCAAAAAGGAGAAAUGUGUUGGACAGUCACCCUUACUUAAACAUCAAGGCAAGCUGACGCUAUUUCCCCUGCGCUGCUUGCCAAAACGGCGGGCAGCAAUCUCC
This 109-nucleotide non-coding RNA is filed under the name Gibbsiella quercinecans. RNAcentral's name for it is "Salmonella mgtC leader RNA". It matches the Rfam family "Salmonella mgtC leader RNA". The record is from RNAcentral. Lineage: Bacteria; Pseudomonadati; Pseudomonadota; Gammaproteobacteria; Enterobacterales; Yersiniaceae.